AUGAACGCUGGCGGCGUGCUUAACACAUGCAAGUCGAACGGAAAGGCCAGUGCUUGCACUGGUACUCGAGUGGCGAACGGGUGAGUAACACGUGGGUGAUCUGUCCUGCACUUCGGGAUAAGCCUGGGAAACUGGGUCUAAUACCGGAUAGGACAAUGGUUUGGAUGCCGUUGUGGAAAGUUUUUUCGGUGUGGGAUGAGCUCGCGGCCUAUCAGCUUGUUGGUGGGGUAAUGGCCUACCAAGGCGUCGACGGGUAGCCGGCCUGAGAGGGUGUACGGCCACAUUGGGACUGAGAUACGGCCCAGACUCCUACGGGAGGCAGCAGUGGGGAAUAUUGCACAAUGGGCGCAAGCCUGAUGCAGCGACGCCGCGUGGGGGAUGACGGCCUUCGGGUUGUAAACUCCUUUCGCUAGGGACGAAGCGUAUUUGUGACGGUACCUGGAGAAGAAGCACCGGCUAACUACGUG
Molecule: ribosomal RNA, 467 nt
Filed under: uncultured bacterium
Lineage: Bacteria
Description: partial 16S ribosomal RNA
Rfam family: Bacterial small subunit ribosomal RNA
Source: RNAcentral